CUUGGUCAUUUAGAGGAAGUAAAAGUCGUAACAAGGUUUCCGUAGGUGAACCUGCGGAAGGAUCAUUAUUGAAUAAAUAUAAUUUGGGAGGUUGUAGCUGGCUCUCUAUUGGGGAGCAAUGUGCACACCUUUCAAACUAUUUAUCUCCAACCCACCUGUGCACUUCUUGUAGAUGCUGGAUAAAAAACAACCAACUCCUUUGGAUUGAUUGUUAUUUUUUUGAGGGUUUGCUGUCAAGGCUGCCUUUGCUUGUUCAGUGUCUAUGUAUUUUAUAAUAUACCCUACUUUUUAGUCUUUGAAUGUGUUAUCAAAAGGCAGCAAUGCCCUUUUGUUAUAAUAUUAAUACAACUUUCAACAACGGAUCUCUUGGCUCUCGCAUCGAUGAAGAACGCAGCGAAAUGCGAUAAGUAAUGUGAAUUGCAGAAUUCAGUGAAUCAUCGAAUCUUUGAACGCACCUUGCGCUCCUUGGUUAUUCCGAGGAGCAUGCCUGUUUGAGUGUCAUUAAAUUCUCAACCCCUCUUCAGUUUUCUGAAGGGGUGGAUUUGGAUGGUGGAGGUGUUGCAGGCUUGAUCAAAGUCAGCUCCUCUUAAAUGCAUUAGCAGAACCCUUGCAUUGACUUGGUUUCUGGUGUGAUAAAUUAUCUGCGCCAUUCCAGUCGAUCAAAAAGUCAUGGUUUAGCUUCUAAUCUGUUUAUUGUCCUUGAAGGAUUAAAAACACUUUUUAACUUGACCUCAAAUCAGGUAGGACUACCCGCUGAACUUAAGCAUAUCAAUAAGCGGAGGAAAAGAAACUAACAAGGAUUCCCCUAGUAACUGCGAGUGAAGCGGGAAAAGCUCAAAUUUAAAAUCUGGCAGUUCUUUUUUGUGGCUGUCCGAGUUGUAAUCUAGAGAAGUGCUAUCCGCGCUGGACCGUGUACAAGUCUCCUGGAAUGGAGCGUCAUAGAGGGUGAGAAUCCCGUCUUUGACACGGACUACCAGGGCUUUUGUGAUGUGCUCUCGAAGAGUCGAGUUGUUUGGGAAUGCAGCUCAAAAUGGGUGGUAAAUUCCAUCUAAAGCUAAAUAUUGGCGAGAGACCGAUAGCGAACAAGUACCGUGAGGGAAAGAUGAAAAGAACUUUGAAAAGAGAGUUAAACAGUACGUGAAAUUGUUGAAAGGGAAACGCUUGAAGU
RNAcentral lists this ribosomal RNA (1168 nucleotides) under uncultured Basidiomycota. RNAcentral describes it as "eukaryotic LSU rRNA". The stretch from base 727 to 1168 matches the Rfam family "Eukaryotic large subunit ribosomal RNA", at positions 1 to 429 of the family's 3401-position model. The record is from RNAcentral. Lineage: Eukaryota; Fungi; Basidiomycota.